Molecule: ribosomal RNA, 301 nt
Filed under: uncultured bacterium
Lineage: Bacteria
Description: partial 16S ribosomal RNA
Rfam family: Bacterial small subunit ribosomal RNA
Source: RNAcentral
CAGUCGCCGCGGUAAAACGUAGGGUGCAAGCGUUAAUCGGAAUUACUGGGCGUAAAGCGUGCGCAGGCGGUGUUGUAAGACUGAUGUGAAAUCCCCGGGCUCAACCUGGGAACUGCAUUGGUGACUGCAACGCUGGAGUGCGGCAGAGGGGGAUGGAAUUCCGCGUGUAGCAGUGAAAUGCGUAGAUAUGCGGAGGAACACCGAUGGCGAAGGCAAUCCCCUGGGCCUGCACUGACGCUCAUGCACGAAAGCGUGGGGAGCAAACAGGAUUAGAUACCCCCGUAGUCCCUGUCUCUUAUAC